This 61-nucleotide transfer RNA is filed under the name Ictidomys tridecemlineatus (thirteen-lined ground squirrel). RNAcentral's name for it is "Spermophilus tridecemlineatus (thirteen-lined ground squirrel) tRNA". It matches the Rfam family "tRNA", at positions 6 to 65 of the family's 71-position model. Rfam says of the family: Transfer RNA (tRNA) molecules are approximately 80 nucleotides in length. Their secondary structure includes four short double-helical elements and three loops (D, anti-codon, and T loops). Lineage: Eukaryota; Metazoa; Chordata; Mammalia; Rodentia; Sciuridae. The record is from Rfam by way of RNAcentral.
UGUGGCUCAGAGGUAGAGUGCUCGCCUACCAAGCGUGAGUCACUGGGUUCAAUCCCAAGCA